Non-coding RNA from Maylandia zebra (zebra mbuna), 2280 nucleotides. The record is from RefSeq and is a predicted model, not a curated record. Lineage: Eukaryota; Metazoa; Chordata; Actinopteri; Cichliformes; Cichlidae.
AGAAAGAAAGAAAUGGAUGAAUGGAUGAAAGACUGGAAAUAAAAACAAACGGACUGACUGGUAAAAGAUGACAAGACUAGACCAUGACUCAAGGUUAACCACCUCCACCUAGAUAGGAUAAAAGGGUGGAUGAAUUUAUGUGUGUUUCUUUUUACAGGAGUAGAAGGAUGACAAAAUAUUCGAGGAUGAGUGAACCUGUAAAUGCCAUUUUUGUGUCUUGUGUUGUUUACAGAGGUAACUGCGCAGCGUUACCAUUUACAUUUUCUUCCCUACAGGGUUACAGUUUUAAUGUUUUUCUAUUACAGGAUUUCUGGGCGGAUGUGUGAAGAAACGGUGUUUAUGGGUUAGGAGUUGGUGAUGCUAUUACACUGUAUUCUGGUGAGAGUGUUGGGGGAGACACACCCUGUCUUGAAAACUGUGAUUCUUUUACAGGAAAUGUUUUUAUAGCACCUAUGGGAUGUGGAUGCCUGACUACGGUCAAUGUGCUGCUAAUGUUUGCUUUGCUUUGGUGAGAAGGGUGCAGUAGAAAACAGACAAGUGACAUGAAAACAAGUAAUAAUAACAAAUAACAAAUUUGGGGACAGUUUGACCUAGGGCCCACUAACUGGCCAUUAGGGGCUCUCUCUCUCUCCUCUCUCCUCUCUCUUGGAAUAACAUUGCCCAAAGGGUGAAUAAAGCAAAUUGUGGCAAUAUUAGUGAUUUAAUGAUUGGAGAAAUCCUGAACAUGAUACUUGUCUGUUGUGCUGAAUCUUUUAUUACUCUUAUGAUUUGCAGGUGGGACCAUGAAGAUUUUUUGGUACAGAUUGCAGGUUGUUGCUCAUUAUUGAAGUGUGCUCAUAAAGGUAAAAGCUAUAUAGGGGGUCUAUCAUUUGGUCUGUGUUUUAAUAAUUUAGGUAUGGCAAAAUUAAAGGUUUCUAGACAAUUUAGGGAACGAGUGAGAAGCAUAAUUAGAUGAUCAGAAACUGAGUACUACACUCAAGUUAGAAUUAAGAAUGCCCAAUUUGUUUGAGGUCUGUUGUUCAUUUUUAUACACACAUUGCAAAUGUGCUUAUAAGGAGCUGGCACUUAGUCUGUGAAGGUCAAAAGCUUCAUCCGACAACGGAUCGGAUUGAUAUAUUGGAGCUAUUGACUUCACGUGCAGAGGGUUAAAUGCAUGCACGCUUACACACAUAAGCAUGGCAUAGGAUUGGAAUAAACAAAGUCAACAACAUUAGGUUAGGAGAGCCAGCGCAGGAGAGGUGUUGGCUUUCUGUCUCUUGCAGAGAAGGGAACAGACACCAGACGGGGACACGGAGAUAUGGGGAUCCUUCACAGCAACUGGGGUCAAGUGUCAUGGCCUUGGGGCUCCUUGAGAAGAUGGAUCCCAUAACCACAGCGAUAACCAGGAAGGGGUUGGCGAAAACUAGGAACACCGGAGACCAACGAGAUCUGUGUAACGACUGAAGGGUGGUAUAACCCCGGAAGUCGAAGAAAGAAGAAUCUGAGGGCGUUUCUUCACUCCAAGAGGAGGUGGUAAAGGGGCCUGAAGCGUGUCAGGCUGAAACUCGAGUCCGAAGCUAAAAGAACAGCUGGGUUGUGGGAAAAUUGGAAAACAACGGAGGCGUUGGGAUUGAUAAGUGUCAUAACGUGUUUGUUUGGUUUGGAAAUACAUCCUGGUGUGAGUUGGGCUGGCAAGCCAGCCCAAAGAGGAGGAAUGUGACCAGGAGAUAUUUUAUUUUGUAUUCUUAUGAUCACAGUUAUAAUCAGAAGUAUCAAUCAUUAAUCAUUUACCAUUGUUGAACCAGUUGACAGAAUAAUCUUUGAACCAUAUCUAUGUUAACAUUAAUCUACACAGAUUAUCAGUACUUUAAUCAGUCUAUUGUUGUUCUGUACUAUUCAUGUUAUUUGCUUAAAGCUGUUUCACAGUUCUGUAAUCACUCAGAAGCCUGUGGGCCUGCUGGACCCUGCCUUGGUUCUAUGUUCAGUUCUGCACGUACACAGGCCUUUAGUAAGAAUAGGAGGGUCGUCUGAGGACAGAUAUACUUUCACAAAAGGCACGAAUGUAAUACACACUUGUUUUCUCUAACAACUAACAGUUGAUGUCCAUAUUAGGUAAACUCUCUGAACAGGCCCAAAACUGUUAUCAUUUCCAGUAAGGUCUGACUGUGUUACGUCAUCAUGGGAUCAUGGGUUAUAUAAGGAUGGGGAGCGGUCCACUCUUUGGAGAUCUGUGGCUGUACGCUUGUCUUCCCAUGCUUCUGUCUUAGAAGUGUGCAAUAAAAUCACUAUGUUUGUCACCUA